RNAcentral lists this ribosomal RNA (468 nucleotides) under uncultured bacterium. RNAcentral describes it as "partial 16S ribosomal RNA". It matches the Rfam family "Bacterial small subunit ribosomal RNA", at positions 28 to 507 of the family's 1533-position model. The record is from RNAcentral.
GACGAACGCUGGCGGCGUGCUUAACACAUGCCAGUCGAACGGAAAGUCCCUGCUUUUGUGGGGUGCUCUAGUUGCGAACGGGUGAGUAACACGUGAGUAACCUGCCCUUGACUUUGGGAUAACUUCAUGAAACUUGGGCUAAUACCGGAUAGGAGCUCCUGCUUCAUGGUGGGGGUUGGUAAGUUUCGGCGGUUGGGGAUGGACUCGCGUCUUAUCAGCUUGUUGGUGGGGUAGUGGCUUACCAAGGCUUUGACGGGUAGCCGGCCUGAGAGGGUGACCGGCAACAUUGGGACUGAGAUACGGCCCAGACUCCUACGGGAGGGAGCAGUGGGGAAUAUUGCACAAUGGGCGGAAGCCUGAUGCAGCAACGCCGCGUGCGGGAUGACGGCCUUCGGGUUGUAAACCGAUUUCGCCUGUGACGAAGCGUGAGUGACGGUAAUGGGUAAAGAAGCACCGGCUAACUACGUG